RNAcentral lists this ribosomal RNA (536 nucleotides) under Coccobius nr. fulvus FAFU Yu Si coccobius sanya. Its description in RNAcentral is "partial large subunit ribosomal RNA". It matches the Rfam family "Eukaryotic large subunit ribosomal RNA", at positions 359 to 656 of the family's 3401-position model. The record is from RNAcentral. Lineage: Eukaryota; Metazoa; Arthropoda; Insecta; Hymenoptera; Aphelinidae.
CCGUUGAGGAAAGUUGAAAAGAACUUUGAAGAGAGAGUUCAAGAGUACGUGAAACCGUUCAGGGGUAAACCUGAGAAACCCAAAAGAUCGAAUGGGGAGAUUCAUCGUCAGCUGCGAUAGCUUUCGUGUGGUGCGCGAUGCUCGGGGUCUCGGCCCUGUGGCACGCGUCCACUGCGGUAUGUCUGUUGUAGUCGGCGUGCACUUCUCCCCUAGUAGGACGUCGCGACCCGUUGGGUGCUGGCCUACGGUCUGGUUUGUUGACUGUCGCGUCGCGUUCACGCGUGCACGCGCCAGACGACUUGUUGCCUGGCCGGCUGCCCGGCGGUAGAAAAUUUUUUAAAAACGGUAUCGGGCCGCACUAAGUGCGUUCUGGCUCGUCGGCAGGCUCGCCUCGCUCGGAUUUUACGGACCCAGUCCCGUUGUCGGGUGCUUGGCGUGGCUGCUAGUCGACGAUGUCCUCGAACAGGCCUUUUAUAUUCGAACGGAUAUACCGGUCGGCGACGCUACUGCUUUGGGUACUUUCAGGACCCGUCUUG